Molecule: long non-coding RNA, 3936 nt
Organism: Pygoscelis adeliae (Adelie penguin)
Lineage: Eukaryota; Metazoa; Chordata; Aves; Sphenisciformes; Spheniscidae
Exons: 5
Source: RefSeq, a predicted model, not a curated record
ACCGGUCUCAUCCAGAGCACUUUAAAGAAACCGAUAAGCUCUAUCUCGUUUAACUUGGCCUUUGGAAGACGCUUGUGGAAAUUUCUGCAAAGGAGGUGACAUCAGUUGUUGUCACAGCUGCUGUGAAAAAUACAUACCAUGGUCCUGCUCUGACAGCAUAGGCUCAGAGAAAUGAAGAAGACAAGCAAGUUUUCUACUGUUGUACGCCAUGGAAAGUGGAUGCACAGGUUACCUUUGAGUCCUAAUGAAGGAGUUUGGAGCUGGAGACCACAAUAAGUUUGAAUUAAUUUUGAUGUUUAUUCUGCAGAUUUCCAAGCAUUAUCACACGUUGAUUUCUGAAGUGCUGACCGCUAUAACAAUCCACUGCAGUGGGCAAUUCCCGGCCAUAUGUCACGGUUAUGGAGGUGCUGCAGUCAUGGUGAGACGGGCACUGAACUGGUAGAGCUGUAUCAAGGAGUUCUCAUGAAUUUUCAGCAAUGAGUCCAUAUGGGAAUAAUUUCAUUGUGAGAAGAAGGCUUCCAUUCUGUCAUGAAAAAAGGCUGCAUGAAAAUAACGGAAAGCUACAGAAGAAAGUAUCAGUCAUUGUUUGAAAGCAUUGUGGCCUAUGGAGAUGGAAACCAGAACGUGGAUUUGCCUCCAAAUUUUAUAAGCUUCUAGAAACCCAAAUGAUGAGAAACAAAUGCGAAAAGUUCACAAAGUAGUGGUUGCUUAAAAAAAAAUAAUUCUUAAAGCCCUGUUGCUUUUACGAUGAACAGACCUUGCGAGAAGGUUAUUAAUUAUCUUGAACACCACCAUUUAAACAGGUAGAGCUAUUUCCAGUAUUUUUUGGUUGCCACCUAGAUUAGUAUUAUACUCCUCAGUUGCUAACAAUGAAGUUAUCAGCCACUGGAACAAAUUAUUAAGAGGAACAGUGAGCUUACCAUUUCUUGAGGUCUUCAAACUGAGAGUGGAUGGUAUGCUUUAGCAAACAAUGGCGACACAGCUGGGUUAAAUUAUAUGGUUGUACUAAAGAGAAGGGAACAUGAGAUAUUCUAUGUGGUCCUUUCUAGCCUUAAGAGCUAUAGGUCUGUAAUUUCACAAAUACCAUUACAAAGAACUCCUUAGAAGUAGUGAUGAACAUAGCAGCAAUGCGAAUCCAUCUCCUGAUUUGGGGCAGAUUAUUCCAAAGUAUUUUAAAAAAUUACAGACCGUAGUACUGUUUUUAUAUGUUUCUGUCACUACAAAUCAUAUUACUAGCAUAAUUUUACAAUAUUGGAAAUCCCUUUUUGAGGACUAGAGAGACUCUUCCUCUCCCCCAAAGAGGUCAAUGUACUUCAGUUCAUGAAAGUGUGUAAACAAGUGAGCAUGCAUGCUGCUGCUUUCCUACCUGAUGUAUUUCAGUCAUUAAAAUCUGAAAUAAGUAAGCUAGAUUCACUCGGUGAAAUAAAAGACAAUCCAUGAAGGAAAUUCUAAGAUACUUCUCAUUAUUGCAGACCAUUUCUAAGCUAAACUGUAAUUUUCUCCUCCUUGUAGGGUGAUCUGGCACACUGUUUAAAAGAGAACCUUAAAAGAAGAUUUUUUUUUUUCCCCCAUAGCAAUCCUCCAGUUGAGAACAGCUAAACCAUUUUUUCCCAGAUUUCCAGUGUUUUGGGGCAUUGGGCCCUGCAGAAACUUAAAUCUAGUGGAACAGUUGGAAGCUUGGGAAAGUUGUACCUGACUGAACAGCUGGAGAUGAAAAGAAACAGUUUUUCAAUGUUGAGACAUAUUUUUCUUACUAUAAAGAAAGAAGGAAUUAAGUGACUACGUGCUUGGAAGAAAGACCUUGCCGUUUCAUGAUGGCUCUCAAACAUCAUCUUUAUAACUCCAUUGAACUGUUUCUCUGAUAAAAACCCUGUAGCCUACACUACAAAGGGCUUUGAGUAUAUGUAUAGCAUAUACUGUUAUCAGCAAUCACCACAAUGAUACCUUUUGUGACCACAAAAGGUAUUCCUUCAGUAUGGUUAAACUGUCUCAUUAAUCAUAAGACAAAAUUACUCCUGUGCCAGUAUGUCUUCCACCCACAGAGGUGGGUUUAGCAGCAUAGCUAGGACAGCAUAGUUGGGAUGUCCUAACUAACGCUAGCAGAUCUGAAAAAACAUCAUGAAAAACAGCUUUUCAACUGUUUCAGGGAAAGCUGAUGAUUUUGCGUCCAGAAUGGAGAUGCGUAAUUCCAGAGGCAGAUUUUUAGUUUUUAGGUUGUAGUCAAUGGCUAGUUACCCUUGUUUCUGUGAGUGUCUAAAACUCUCUUCGUGGCUCACUUCUAUAUACGUACGUUGUGCCUAAAUAAAUAUCUGAACUGUCCCUCAGCUGGAAGGCUGUCUGCAAGACAUGCUUUAGCUAAACACAGUGUGUCACUCAGAUACAAUGAAGGGAGCACAAUAUAAGAAAGCUCAGAGGAAAUUUGGUAGCUUGUCUCAUACAGGCAUUCAAAUUGCUUUAUCAAGCAGUCUUUUCUGGUCUUAAGUUCCAUAAAUAUAUAACUUGUGCUGAUUCAAAUAAGUUCAACUUUCUCUUGCUACUGUGUUUUGUGCUCUUGAGAAAAGAUGAUUGGAAAAGCUGGAUGCUGAACAAGAGGAGUGGCCUCUGACUGCUCUUAAGCUUUUCAAAUAUAUUAUCCUUUAAAGAAAAAACAACCCAGUUUGUCAUUACAGUUUCAGCAUCAACAGUGACAUCUAUUUGCCAUGCAAAGGCCACAGUGAAAUACAGGUCUGUAUGUUUAAUUCUUUGAUUUCAUGAAUCUACAAGAAUAAUUUUGGGUUGAUUUGAUGGAAGGAACUCCUCGGUUUUAGUCCCCUAAACACUAUCUGUAUAGCUCUCUUCUAAAAAUUAUAAUGAUAAAAAUAAAAAAAAGGGGGAGGGGAAUAAGAAGUCGCUAAACAUUUGAAAGGUUGGAGGUCUAGACUGUUUCCAUUCAUCAAGGUUGUUCUCAAAAGUAAUUUUUGAGCCACACUGCAAGGAAACUGGGAAGAGCUUGAACGGCUAAUAUUCCCUUUGUUGUGUGGAUAUACAGAAAACAGUUUUCUUGUCCCACAAGGAUUCUGUUGAUUUUGAAAUUUUAGGCCUGGCAUGGGGCUCAGUGAAUAUAUGAGCGACUUAAGAAACAGACAGACAUAUUUCAUUUUAAUGCUUUUUUUUUUUUUAACCUUUUAAUAUAAGCUAAAUUAAGUUUCAACAGGAGAAGAUGCUUUUAACAGCAAAACCAAGAAUUUUUGUUUUAAAAAUGUUGAAAUGGCACAUUUCUAGAAUUUCAAAACCUGUUUUUCCAAUUUUUUUGAGGACAGGAAACUCUUCUGGGAAUAAUUUCAGUUUUGAUGAAUUGUCAGUUGUGACGAUCUCUCGUCUUUUCUACGAAAGGCCUGUUCCCACUCCAAACACUAAACCCAGGCUUCCAAUACUUUCCAGAAGUCUAAGAUACAAUUGCCUUAGUUACCUUACUGACGCAUUACAGUGAGACAUAGAUUUUGGGCAACUAUCUUUAUCCACUGGUGCAAUAAGACAACAGCGAGAGUGUUGUGAUGGUCUUAAUUGGGAUUCUUCUUCUUCUACAAGUACUUGAGAUUGUAAUAGUUCUGUUUUGUGUUUCUACAUUUCACAUACAGUUUCAUGUCAAUUAUUGGUUCACAAUUUGUAAACAAGUAGAUGUGAGUUACAUGUGUGCUAGAAAUUAAUUUCAUUAACACACUGAGUGUUUUUUUCCAUUACAUCUGUCAAGAAGGAUUAUUUUCCUAUAACUAAUGACCUUGGUUGUGUUGAUCUGACAAAAUUUGAUGCCUUCAGUGAAGGAUUAUUAAUGAACACUGCUUUAAGAAGUCUGGAUAGCUCUUAUACCUGGAAAAGAACACUGGAUUUUUUUUCCACUUUUGAUGGAAAUAUUUGUAUAAAUUUGUAUUACCUUAGAAAUAAAUUCCUUUCAUGAUU